ACGGGGCCCGCACAAGCGGUGGAGCAUGUGGUUUAAUUCGAAGCAACGCGAAGAACCUUACCAGGUCUUGACAUCCCGAUGCUUACUUUCUAGAGAUAGAAGUUACUUCGGUUACAUCGGUGACAGGUGGUGCAUGGUUGUCGUCAGCUCGUGUCGUGAGAUGUUGGGUUAAGUCCCGCAACGAGCGCAACCCUUGUUGUUAGUUGCCAUCAGGUAAAGCUGGGCACUCUAACGAGACUGCCGGUGAUAAACCGGAGGAAGGUGGGGAUGACGUCAAAUCAUCAUGCCCCUUAUGUUCUGGGCUACACACGUACUACAAUGGCUGUUACAGAGGGGAGCGAAACCGCAAGGCAGAGCCAAUCCCAAAAACAGUCUCAGUUCGGAUUGUGGGCUGAAACCCGCCCGCAUGAAGUCGGAAUUGCUAGUAAUGGCAGGUCAUCAUACUGCCGUGAAUACGUUCCCGGGCCUU
RNAcentral lists this ribosomal RNA (469 nucleotides) under uncultured Oscillospiraceae bacterium. Its description in RNAcentral is "bacterial SSU rRNA". It matches the Rfam family "Bacterial small subunit ribosomal RNA", at positions 916 to 1381 of the family's 1533-position model. The record is from RNAcentral. Lineage: Bacteria; Bacillati; Bacillota; Clostridia; Eubacteriales; Oscillospiraceae.